CUGUAAACCCCUUCAAAGCUUUUGAUCACGUUUCUUAUCUUGCACAUCAAACCUCGCCAUAAACAUUCCCCAUUUACCGGAAUAUCGUCGGAGCAUAUGAUGUGUCGGGAUACGCGGAGGAUCGCGGUAGGAACCAUUCUUCGACUCUUUAAUGAUUGAUAGCACCUCUAUUCACGUCAGCACUGCAAUGGGACUCGUCGAAAACACGAAGACGUCACUGGACGUACCCGAAGCCCUCCUUCUUUCGACUCGGCUCGGUUUUCUCUCACACGAACACUUGGGUUUGGUUGAUCCAUUUGGAACGAAUAGUGAAACGUGACAUACCGAGCAAUCUAAGGUCGUUAGGGAAUGGAAACAGGAGCUUGCUGGCUGGAGGACAGGAGUGGUCAUGGUCACACUGAUGGGCUCAUUUGUUAAACACUUAUUUAUCAUGUUGAUUAGUAUUACUUUAUGAUACAAUAAUGCUUCCGCUGAACUUGAUGGUUUUUUUUGAAUUACUUAU
Long non-coding RNA from Helianthus annuus (common sunflower), 502 nucleotides. RefSeq lists it as uncharacterized. Lineage: Eukaryota; Viridiplantae; Streptophyta; Magnoliopsida; Asterales; Asteraceae. The transcript has 3 exons. The record is from RefSeq and is a predicted model, not a curated record.